GAUUAGCUCAGUAACACGUGGAUAAUCUGCCCUAUGGUGGAGGAUAACCCCGGGAAACUGGGGAUAAUACUCCAUAAGUCAGGAGUACUGGAAUGUCUCCUAACUGAAAGUUGCGGCGCCAUAGGAUGAAUCUGCGGCCGAUUAGGUAGUUGUUGGGGUAACGGCCCAACAAGCCUGUAAUCGGUACGGGUUGUGGGAGCAAGAGCCCGGAGAUGGAAUCUGAGACACGAUUCCAGGCCCUACGGGGCGCAGCAGGCGCGAAAACUUUACAAUGCAGGAAACUGUGAUAAGGGAACCCCGAGUGCCCGUAAACGCGGGCUGUCCCGGUGUUUAAAACACAUCGGAAGAAAGGGCCGGGCAAGACCGGUGCCAGCCGCCGCGGUAAUACCGGCGGCUCGAGUGGUGACCACUUUUAUUGGGCUUAAAGCGUUCGUAGCUUGAUUUUUAAGUCUCUUGGGAAUCUCACGGCUUAACUGUGAGCGUCUAGAGAUACUGGAUCUAGGGACCGGGAGAGGUAGAGGUACUUCAGGG
RNAcentral lists this ribosomal RNA (531 nucleotides) under uncultured methanogenic archaeon. Its description in RNAcentral is "bacterial SSU rRNA". It matches the Rfam family "Archaeal small subunit ribosomal RNA", at positions 83 to 625 of the family's 1478-position model. The record is from RNAcentral. Lineage: Archaea; Methanobacteriati; Methanobacteriota.